Molecule: ribosomal RNA, 977 nt
Filed under: uncultured Clostridiales Family XIV bacterium
Lineage: Bacteria; Bacillati; Bacillota; Clostridia; Eubacteriales; Clostridiales Family XIV. Incertae Sedis
Description: bacterial SSU rRNA
Rfam family: Bacterial small subunit ribosomal RNA
Source: RNAcentral
GGAGCUCUCCCAUAUGGUCGACCUGCAGGCGGCCGCGAAUUCACUAGUGAUUAGAGUUUGAUCCUGGCUCAGGAUGAACGCUGGCGGCGUGCCUAACACAUGCAAGUCGAACGAAGCAAUUAAAAUGAAGUUUUCGGAUGGAUUUUUGAUUGACUGAGUGGCGGACGGGUGAGUAACGCGUGGAUAACCUGCCUCACACUGGGGGAUAACAGUUAGAAAUGACUGCUAAUACCGCAUAAGCGCACAGUACCGCAUGGUACGGUGUGAAAAACUCCGGUGGUGUGAGAUGGAUCCGCGUCUGAUUAGCCAGUUGGCGGGGUAACGGCCCACCAAAGCGACGAUCAGUAGCCGACCUGAGAGGGUGACCGGCCACAUUGGGACUGAGACACGGCCCAAACUCCUACGGGAGGCAGCAGUGGGGAAUAUUGCACAAUGGGCGAAAGCCUGAUGCAGCGACGCCGCGUGAGUGAAGAAGUAUUUCGGUAUGUAAAGCUCUAUCAGCAGGGAAGAAAAUGACGGUACCUGACUAAGAAGCCCCGGCUAACUACGUGCCAGCAGCCGCGGUAAUACGUAGGGGGCAAGCGUUAUCCGGAUUUACUGGGUGUAAAGGGAGCGUAGACGGCGAAGCAAGUCUGAAGUGAAAACCCAGGGCUCAACCCUGGGACUGCUUUGGAAACUGUUUUGCUAGAGUGUCGGAGAGGUAAGUGGAAUUCCUAGUGUAGCGGUGAAAUGCGUAGAUAUUAGGAGGAACACCAGUGGCGAAGGCGGCUUACUGGACGAUAACUGACGUUGAGGCUCGAAAGCGUGGGGAGCAAACAGGAUUAGAUACCCUGNNAGUCCACGCCGUAAACGAUGAAUGCUAGGUGUUGGGGGGGUAAAGCCCUUCNGUGCCGUCGCAAACGCANUAANCAUUCCACCUGGGGNGUACGUUCGCAAGAAUGAAACUCAAAGGAAUUGACGGGGNNCCGCACAAGCGG